GGAGAAUUAGCUCAGCUGGGAGAGCAUCUGCCGUACAAGCAGAGGGUCGGCGGUUCGAACCCGUCAUUCUCCACCA
RNAcentral lists this transfer RNA (76 nucleotides) under Staphylococcus aureus. Its description in RNAcentral is "tRNA-Val". It matches the Rfam family "tRNA". From Rfam's summary of the family: Transfer RNA (tRNA) molecules are approximately 80 nucleotides in length. Their secondary structure includes four short double-helical elements and three loops (D, anti-codon, and T loops). Further hydrogen bonds mediate the characteristic L-shaped molecular structure. tRNAs have two regions of fundamental functional importance: the anti-codon, which is responsible for specific mRNA codon recognition, and the 3' end, to which the tRNAs corresponding amino acid is attached (by aminoacyl-tRNA synthetases). tRNAs cope with the degeneracy of the genetic code in two manners: having more than one tRNA (with a specific anti-codon) for a particular amino acid; and 'wobble' base-pairing, i.e. permitting non-standard base-pairing at the 3rd anti-codon position. The record is from RNAcentral. Lineage: Bacteria; Bacillati; Bacillota; Bacilli; Caryophanales; Staphylococcaceae.